UACGUAGGGUGCAAGCGUUGUCCGGAAUUAUUGGGCGUAAAGAGCUCGUAGGCGGUUUGUCGCGUCUGCUGUGAAAACCCGAGGCUCAACCUCGGGCCUGCAGUGGGUACGGGCAGACUAGAGUGCGGUAGGGGAGAUUGGAAUUCCUGGUGUAGCGGUGGAAUGCGCAGAUAUCAGGAGGAACACCGAUGGCGAAGGCAGAUCUCUGGGCCGUUACUGGCGCUGAGGAGCGAAAGCGUGGGGAGCGAACAGG
This 253-nucleotide ribosomal RNA is filed under the name uncultured bacterium. RNAcentral describes it as "partial 16S ribosomal RNA". It matches the Rfam family "Bacterial small subunit ribosomal RNA", at positions 524 to 776 of the family's 1533-position model. The record is from RNAcentral.